The sequence is a small nucleolar RNA, 119 nucleotides long. It matches the Rfam family "Small nucleolar RNA snoR100". The record is from Rfam.
AGAUGAAGGUAGCAUGGUAAUAUGCACUGAUAUUGAAGUUCCAGGUCCAUUUGUCUGCUCCUCUUGAUGCCUUCUUGCUUGAGGGCUCUGAUAUAGGGGCCUGAUUAUGACCUACAUAU